AUCUAAGCGGGAAACUCGCCUUGAGAUGAGAUAUCCCCGGGGCUUCGAGCCCCUUGAAGGGUCGUUCAAGACCAGGACGUUGAUAGGUCAGGUGUGGAAGCGCAGUAAUGCGUUAAGCUAACUGAUACUAAUUGCCCGUAAGGCUUGAUCCUAUAACC
This 158-nucleotide ribosomal RNA is filed under the name Paraburkholderia franconis. RNAcentral's name for it is "Paraburkholderia sp. CNPSo 3157 partial 23S ribosomal RNA". It matches the Rfam family "Bacterial large subunit ribosomal RNA", at positions 2779 to 2925 of the family's 2925-position model. The record is from RNAcentral. Lineage: Bacteria; Pseudomonadati; Pseudomonadota; Betaproteobacteria; Burkholderiales; Burkholderiaceae.